AUAUCGUCAAUGAUCAGGAAGAGUACACAUAACAAGAGAGUCUUAGCGAGCCAAUGACGGUGAAAGUUUGGCACUUCUCGGUGUGUGGAAUGGGCCUGGGAGAUGCAGUCCGAGCCAAGGGUUUGGGGUAGGUGCUGCCGGAAGCUUCCUCCGUUACAUGGGAAGAAGGUAUCGGACACGGUUGUCCUGUAUCUUAGCAUGAGCGGGCUAUUUUCAUAGCCAAUCAGGGUGGUAUCGCGUGAGUCAUCAUAACCUCUCGUCCCUACG
RNAcentral lists this non-coding RNA (267 nucleotides) under Propionispora sp. Its description in RNAcentral is "T-box sequence". It matches the Rfam family "T-box leader". From Rfam's summary of the family: Uncharged tRNA acts as the effector for transcription antitermination of genes in the T-box leader family. The record is from RNAcentral. Lineage: Bacteria; Bacillati; Bacillota; Negativicutes; Selenomonadales; Sporomusaceae.